UAAAUAUUGUUUUUCCCAGUGUUCAGACCAGGGUAGAGGAAAGGAGCAAGAGCACUACAGUUUGCCCUCUGGCUGCCAGCAAACCAUCUUAGGAUUCAUUCUGAAUGUUUCAGGUUUCUGAUUCAGAGCCUGAAACUUGACUCAAAACAGGAUCAAAAUCUAGAUGAAAUUCAUCAGAAACUAUGGUCCUCUGGAAGAAAAGGCUACAAGAAUCAGUUUGACCCUAAACAGAACUCCUUGACCUGGAAGCUGCAGCUCAUGGAGAACCUGCCCCUC
This 276-nucleotide long non-coding RNA is filed under the name Cyanistes caeruleus (blue tit). Its description in RNAcentral is "lncRNA (ENSCCEG00000002773.1)". The record is from RNAcentral. Lineage: Eukaryota; Metazoa; Chordata; Aves; Passeriformes; Paridae.